This 468-nucleotide ribosomal RNA is filed under the name uncultured bacterium. RNAcentral describes it as "partial 16S ribosomal RNA". It matches the Rfam family "Bacterial small subunit ribosomal RNA", at positions 28 to 507 of the family's 1533-position model. The record is from RNAcentral.
GACGAACGCUGGCGGCGUGCUUAACACAUGCAAGUCGAACGGAAAGGCCCUGCUUUUGUGGGGUGCUCGAGUGGCGAACGGGUGAGUAACACGUGAGUAACCUGCCCUUGACUUUGGGAUAACUUCAGGAAAUUGGGGCUAAUACCGGAUAGGAGCUCCUGCUGCAUGGUGGGGGUUGGAAAGUUUCGGCGGUUGGGGAUGGACUCGCGGCUUAUCAGCUUGUUGGUGGGGUAGUGGCUUACCAAGGCUUUGACGGGUAGCCGGCCUGAGAGGGUGACCGGCCACAUUGGGACUGAGAUACGGCCCAGACUCCUACGGGAGGCAGCAGUGGGGAAUAUUGCACAAUGGGCGGAAGCCUGAUGCAGCAACGCCGCGUGCGGGAUGACGGCCUUCGGGUUGUAAACCGCUUUCGCCUGUGACGAAGCGUGAGUGAUGGUAAUGGGUAAAGAAGCACCGGCUAACUACGUG